UACGUAGGGUGCAAGCGUUAAUCGGAAUUACUGGGCGUAAAGCGUGCGCAGGCGGUUGGGUAAGACAGAUGUGAAAUCCCCGGGCUCAACCUGGGAACUGCAUUUGUGACUGCACGGCUGGAGUGCGGCAGAGGGGGAUGGAAUUCCGCGUGUAGCAGUGAAAUGCGUAGAUAUGCGGAGGAACACCGAUGGCGAAGGCAAUCCCCUGGGCCUGCACUGACACUGAUGAGCGAAAGCCAGGGGAGCAAACGGG
RNAcentral lists this ribosomal RNA (253 nucleotides) under uncultured bacterium. Its description in RNAcentral is "partial 16S ribosomal RNA". It matches the Rfam family "Bacterial small subunit ribosomal RNA", at positions 524 to 776 of the family's 1533-position model. The record is from RNAcentral.